CCCGCGAGAUUUAAAAUUAAAAUGGACAACUUGGAGACUGCAGCUCGGCCGGAGUUUGCUUCUGUUGGGUCUGCACCUAGCGGGUCUACUUUGAGCCAGAGAAUGGCUGUGGUUAAUCAAAAGUCUAUCUUGGAUAUGAUUAAAAAGUUCAGAAGGAAUUGGCACAUUCUUUGUGACUCUGAGAGAACUACUGUAUGUGGUGCAGACUCCAUGCUCUUGGCAUUGCAGCUUUCCAUGGCAGAGAACAACAAACAGCACAAUGGAGAAUUUACAGUUCCUCUCAGUGAUGUCUUAUUGACCUGGAAAUUCUUCCUACAUGAGAAGUUGAACUUACCAGUUGAAAAUAUGGAAGUGAUUGACCAUUAUGAGGACAUUAGGAGGACUUACGAUGAUUUCUUAAAGAAUAGUAAUAUGUUAGAUCUGAUUGAUGUUUAUAAAAAAUGUAGUGUUUUGAUUUCUAAGUGUGAAAAUAAUGCCAACAUAUCCCCUAGUCAACUACGGGAUUUUCUGCUUGGGAGACAGUAUGCAGUAGCUGAUGAAACUGAUCUUUAUGUACCGACAUCACCAAUGAGUAAACACAACCAGGAUAAUGAAAAGGUGCAGUUACUAGCAAGGAAAGUUAUCUACUCAUAUUUAAGCCUGCUAGUGAAUUCAAAGAAUGACCUGGCUCUGGCUCAUAUUCUUAAUAUUCCUGAUAGAGGACUUGGACGAGAAGCCUUCACUGAUUUGAAACAUGCUGCUCAAGAGAAAAAGAUGUCUAUCUUUUUGGUGGCUACAUCAUUUAUUAGGACACUAGAGCUUGGAGGGAAAGGAUAUGCACCAUCACCAUCUGAUCCUUUAAGGGCACAUGUAAAAGGAUUGUCUAAUUUUAUUAACUUCAUUGACAAAUUAGAUGAGAUUCUUGGAGAAAUACCAAAUCCAAGCAUUGCAGGGGGUCGGAUACUCUCAGUGAUAAAGAUGCAGCUGAUUAAAGGCCAGAACAGCAGGGAUCCUUUUUGUAAAGCAGUAGAGGAAGUAGCUCAGGAUUUGGAUUUGAGGAUUAAAAAUAUUGUCAAUUCUCAACAAGGAGAUGUAAUUCUUGGUACCACUGAUAUCAGUCCUGCAAGGCCAAAAUCUUAUGCUAUAAACCAUGGUACUGCAUACUGUGGCAGAGAUACUGUGAAAAUUUUACUAGUUCUUUUGGAUGAGGAAGCAGCCAGUUUGCCUACCAAAAACAAAGCAGAGCUUUUAUAUGAUGAUGAAAACACAAUUCAUCAUAAUGGGAUUUCUAUUCUUACACUUUUUAGAUCUCCCACACAAGUGAAUAAUUCAUCAAUGAAACCCCUAAGAGAACGCAUCCAUAAGUCAAUGCACGAGAAAAAAACUAAGAUGAAGCAAACCUUAAUUAGAUCUCAGUUUGCUUGUACUUAUAAAGAGGACUGGAUAAUAAGCAAGGAUAAAUGGAAUGAUGUUAAUUCAGCAUCAGAGCCUUUGUAUGUACUUCACAUGGAAAAUGACCUUUCUGAAGGUGUAAAUUCAUCUGUUAGAAGACCAACAGUUGGAACGAGUUCUGGAAAUGUUCAUCUGGACAGAAGUAAAAGUGAAAAAGUUGCAAGGAAAUCAAGUAGUCAGACAGGAAAUAAAAGCUCAAAGAGGAAACAGACAAUUCUACUGGACAGCACUGCCCUACACAGUGGGGACUGUGAAGAUUGAUCUAGAUAAUAAGGUUUUGACUAGGAGCAAUCCUACAAAUAACUUUCAAGAUAUGUAACCUGAAUGAGAACAUCGAAAAGUCUAAACCACCCAUAAGUUUUGAAGCUGUCCAUUACUUUUCAACCUAAUAUAUUCUGGAGCUUGGUACUGAGAGUAAAGAAAAAAAAAUAGAGAGAGAGACAGAGCAUGAGCAGGCGAGGAGCAGAGAGAGAGACACAAAAUCUGAAGCAGGCUCCAGGCUCUGAGCUGUCAGCACAGAGCCCGACACGGGGCUCGAAGUCACAGACUGCGAGAUCAUGACCUGAGCCUAAGUCGGAUGCUCAACCGACUGAGCCACCUGGCACCCCUAUGGAUUUAUUUUUCAGUGCUAAAUCAACUUUGCAUUUCUGGAAUAUACCCUACUUGGUCAUGAGAAUUGCUGCUGUUAAGAAGAGAGUUGGUCCUGAGAUCCUUUCCCCAGGUCCAAAUUGGAAGUUUACUCUGCAGAAAAACAUAGGCCUUGCAUGGAAACUCUUAAGAAAUGUCAAAGAGCUGGGUCCUGUUGAAAAGAUUGGGAUAAUUGUCAGGAGCCACUUGCUUACAGCCUGCAUUUCUUUUAGUACUUCUUAUAAGUGAGACAUGUUUUCUGAGAUGGAAGAUGGAAGAUUCCAUGUAAUAAAGGUGAAUAUAAAAUUUUAUUCAUUUAUCUUUAAAAAGUCUAUGGA
Molecule: RNA transcript, 2396 nt
Organism: Panthera uncia (snow leopard)
Lineage: Eukaryota; Metazoa; Chordata; Mammalia; Carnivora; Felidae
Gene: PARPBP
Gene name: PARP1 binding protein
Exons: 20
Source: RefSeq, a predicted model, not a curated record